CACGUGGGUAACCUACCUAUAAGACUGGAAUAACUCCGGGAAACCGGGGCUAAUGCCUGAUAACAUAUAGAACCGCAUGGUUCUAUAGUGAAAGAUGGUUUUGCUAUCACUUAUAGAUGGACCCGCGCCGUAUUAGCUAGUUGGUAAGGUAAUGGCUUACCAAGGCGACGAUACGUAGCCGACCUGAGAGGGUGAUCGGCCACACUGGAACUGAGACACGGUCCAGACUCCUACGGGAGGCAGCAGUAGGGAAUCUUCCGCAAUGGGCGAAAGCCUGACGGAGCAACGCCGCGUGAGUGA
This 300-nucleotide ribosomal RNA is filed under the name uncultured Staphylococcus sp. Its description in RNAcentral is "bacterial SSU rRNA". It matches the Rfam family "Bacterial small subunit ribosomal RNA", at positions 114 to 408 of the family's 1533-position model. Lineage: Bacteria; Bacillati; Bacillota; Bacilli; Caryophanales; Staphylococcaceae. The record is from RNAcentral.